GCGUUGUCCGGAAUCAUUGGGCGUAAAGCGCACGUAGGCGGCCCGGUAAGUCCGUUGUGAAAGUCAGAGGCUCAACCUCUGGAGGCCAAUGGAUACUGCCGGGCUAGAGUCCGGAAGAGGCGAGUGGAACUCCUGGUGUAGCGGUGGAAUGCGCAGAUAUCAGGAAGAACACCAAUAGCGAAGGCAGCUCGCUGGGACGGUACUGACGCUGAGGUGCGAAAGCGUG
This 226-nucleotide ribosomal RNA is filed under the name uncultured bacterium. Its description in RNAcentral is "partial 16S ribosomal RNA". It matches the Rfam family "Bacterial small subunit ribosomal RNA", at positions 538 to 763 of the family's 1533-position model. The record is from RNAcentral.